GUGAGGAAUAUUGGACAAUGGGCGCAAGCCUGAUCCAGCCAUGCCGCGUGCAGGAAGACGCAUCUAUGGUGUGUAAACUGCUUUUGUACGGGAAGAAACACUCCCUCGUGAGGGAGCUUGACGGUACCGUAAGAAUAAGGAUCGGCUAACUCCGUGCCAGCAGCCGCGGUAAUACGGAGGAUCCAAGCGUUAUCCGGAAUCAUUGGGUUUAAAGGGUCCGUAGGCGGUUUAAUAAGUCAGUGGUGAAAGCCCAUCGCUCAACGAUGGAACGGCCAUUGAUACUGUUAGACUUGAAUUACAAGGAAGUAACUAGAAUAUGUAGUGUAGCGGUGAAAUGCUUAGAUAUUACAUGGAAUACCAAUUGCGAAGGCAGGUUACUAAGGCGAUACUGACGCUGAGGCACGAAAGCGUGGGGAUCGAACAGGAUUAGAAACCCCUGUAGUCC
RNAcentral lists this ribosomal RNA (445 nucleotides) under uncultured bacterium. Its description in RNAcentral is "partial 16S ribosomal RNA". It matches the Rfam family "Bacterial small subunit ribosomal RNA", at positions 354 to 796 of the family's 1533-position model. The record is from RNAcentral.